AUCAGAAAGGGACUUAAGAAUCUGAGAACAGAGAAGAGGAAGCAAGUUAGAGAGACCGUCUCAGUCCGUCUCCAGUCCCUGUCUGAGGCGGGCACCACCUCCCCCAGGCAUUUCCCUCCUUAAGAGACUUUGAAGGCACCCCAAACUUAAUGUUUACAGCAAUGUUGAUCUUUACACGUAUGAAUGGGAGUUUUUCUUUAAAUGUCAAGAGACUUAAUCAUUGCAUAUCUUUUGGCAUAAGGUUAAAGAGAAGAGGAUGUGGAAAUCAUGCCAUUGUUAAGAGAGAUUUUUCACUUCGUUUUAUAAAAUGGAAUGCGUUUUCAGAAAUUGUAUGCAGGCUGAACAGCUUAUAUUUCCUCUGUCACAGAAGUAGCUGAGCAGAGCGAAGCAUUCUGACUUUAAUUCAUGAACCAGGAAAUCUUUCGUGGCAGAUCCUGGUUGCACCUUACCCUCCUCUUCAGAAUUUGUCCCUACCAGUACCCCAACUCCCUACAGAGAGAGAGAGAGAGAGAAUUCGAGAAAGUGCACGUGCCAUCAAAGGAAUCCUCCUUUCUUUCAUGGCCGUCCCUUUGGGACAAACUUUGUCUGUGAGGCAAGGACAAUGAUGGUUUCCUUCCCACCUCCCAGAAGAAGACGGGGCCGGAUCCAGUGAUGAAGGAUGAGCAUGAGGUGAGGCAGACCUCACAUCGCAGAGAACCUAGGGGAUGUUAUUUUCUCUCUCCUUUCUAAAGCCUCUGUAAAAAGCUCCAGAUUUUUGUUCCUGAGUUGUGACUGCUGUAAAGAAUAUAAAAUCUGAGAUACUGUGACUCCCACGUGAUUUCACCUCUGGCUACGGGCAUGAGACAGCAGUGGGCGUUCUGUGGGUUUGCAUCUGACGCGCAGCCUUGGGGACGAGGGCGGACAGAAAGGAGGAUUAGCUGAUGCAUCGGUGCCUCCAGUGGGGUUUGCGGCCUUGUGCCCCGUAACCUUAAGCAAUUCAGGCAGGGAAAAUUGGAGGGACUGAUGAAAAGGAACCGCAGGAAAAGGAAGUGGAGGAAGAUGCAAAACUGAGGGAGAG
This 1057-nucleotide long non-coding RNA is filed under the name Equus caballus (horse). Its description in RNAcentral is "lncRNA (ENSECAG00000043966.1)". Lineage: Eukaryota; Metazoa; Chordata; Mammalia; Perissodactyla; Equidae. The record is from RNAcentral.